RNAcentral lists this ribosomal RNA (429 nucleotides) under Bacteroidota bacterium. RNAcentral's name for it is "Bacteroidetes bacterium partial 16S ribosomal RNA". It matches the Rfam family "Bacterial small subunit ribosomal RNA", at positions 355 to 776 of the family's 1533-position model. The record is from RNAcentral. Lineage: Bacteria; Pseudomonadati; Bacteroidota.
UAGGGAAUCUUCGGCAAUGGGGGGAACCCUGACCGAGCAACGCCGCGUGAGUGAAGAAGGUUUUCGGAUCGUAAAGCUCUUUUGUUAAGGAAGAACGAGUGUGAGAAUGGAAAGUUCAUACUGUGACGGUACUUAACCAGAAAGGGACGGCUAACUACGUGCCAGCAGCCGCGGUAAUACGUAGGUCCCGAGCGUUGUCCGGAUUUAUUGGGCGUAAAGCGAGCGCAGGCGGUUAGAUAAGUCUGAAGUUAAAGGCAGUGGCUCAACCAUUGUAGGCUUUGGAAACUGUUUAACUUGAGUGCAGAGGGGGAGAGUGGAAUUCCAUGUGUGGCGGUGAAAUGCGUAGAUAUAUGGAGGAACACCGGUGGCGAAAGCGGCUCUCUGGUCUGUAACUGACGCUGAGGCUCGAAAGCGUAGGGAGCGAACAGG